RNAcentral lists this unclassified non-coding RNA (224 nucleotides) under plant metagenome. Its description in RNAcentral is "partial contains small subunit ribosomal RNA, internal transcribed spacer 1, and 5.8S ribosomal RNA". The record is from RNAcentral.
UCUCCGUUGGUGAACCAGCGGAGGGAUCAUUACAGGACUCGCAAGACUCCUUCACCCUGUGAACCUCACUACAAGCACGUUGCUUCGGCGGGUGUCCCGGCGGGGGUUUUCCCUCGUCGGGGCGCACAGCCCGCCGGCAGCCUACUAUACUCUGUCUCUCUGCGUUGGCAUCUCGAGAAAAAACAAACAAGUUAAAACUUUCAACAACGGAUCUCUUGGUUCUG